AUUUUAUAAUAUAAUAUUAAAACUAACAUUAACAUCUAUUUAUUUCCUCUUUCUAGCUGUAUAUAUGAACCAUCCUCCUUACUUCGUCCCCCUUCUUCUUCGUCCACGCCUAAUUUCUUGACCUAAAUUCCCUUCCUUUAUUUAAAUUUCCUCUUUAUUUUCUUCAGAUCCAGAGGAGGCUCGAUCUCUGAUUCUCCUUUUCUGGCUCUCCAGGUGUUGUUUCAACAGAAGACCGAAAAUGAAUCACUGUGGAAUCCAACAAACCAGUAACUUUUCGUCUUUCAACAACGGAGAGCCGGUGGUGUGUCCGAAGCCACGGCGGUUCCACCUCCUCAACACCGAUACUCGAAAACCUUUAACAUUUCAUUUGUGGUACGGUGUUCUGGAUCAGGAGAUAUACGAUUCAAAUUCUUGUGAACAAGCCUUACCCGCGUCGCCCCCUUAUUUCUGCGGGUCACCGCCGAGUAGAGUAUCUAACCCGUUAAUUCAAGACGCUCGUUUCAAAGAGGAAAAAUUAAGUUCAGUUUCACCAAAUUCGAUCAUUCCUCCAAACCCUAGCUCGGGUGGUGUAGCAUCAUCAUCAUCAUCAUCUCCGUCAUACAACAACAUCCGUACCACUUACAACAACAAACCUUCGGUUAGAAUUGAAGGCUUUAACUGCCUUGACAAUAAUCGCCGCAAUUGUCGUGUUCCUGCUUUGGCUUGAAUGAACCUGAUGUGUGUAGUGAUAUUGGGCGGUUAAUUUUAGGGUUGUGAAGAGGAAUUUUGGACAUCUUGUUGAAGAAGAAGAUUACAUGAAACUCUGUUAUAAUAUGUAAAUAGGGUUAAGAAGAAAAAGAGGUAUUUGUCUGUAUUUAGGGAGUUAUUAACAAAAAAUAAUGGUAGGAUAUGAAGAUGUUAUUAUUACGGUAUUACCCUUCUGGUUAUGAUUUGUAAGUAUAAACAAGGAAGGGGAUUUUCCAAAGGAAAAAUUUGUAUAAAAAUUCGUCGAUUAUUAUUUUACUUUGUAUAUAUGUGUACAUGUAAUAUCCAAGUAUUAUAUUCUAUUUUUGUUAA
Molecule: long non-coding RNA, 1056 nt
Organism: Helianthus annuus (common sunflower)
Lineage: Eukaryota; Viridiplantae; Streptophyta; Magnoliopsida; Asterales; Asteraceae
Exons: 2
Source: RefSeq, a predicted model, not a curated record